UGGCAAAUCGAUAAAUAUUGC
Caenorhabditis elegans is the source of this 21-nucleotide non-coding RNA. The record is from Ensembl. NCBI's taxonomy places the organism in Eukaryota, Metazoa, Nematoda, Chromadorea, Rhabditida, Rhabditidae.